This 525-nucleotide ribosomal RNA is filed under the name uncultured Burkholderiaceae bacterium. RNAcentral's name for it is "bacterial SSU rRNA". It matches the Rfam family "Bacterial small subunit ribosomal RNA", at positions 8 to 526 of the family's 1533-position model. The record is from RNAcentral. Lineage: Bacteria; Pseudomonadati; Pseudomonadota; Betaproteobacteria; Burkholderiales; Burkholderiaceae.
AGAGUUUGAUCCUGGCUCAGAUUGAACGCUGGCGGCAUGCUUUACACAUGCAAGUCGAGCGGCAGCGCGGGGGCAACCCUGGCGGCGAGCGGCGGACGGGUGAGUAAUGCAUCGGAACGUAUCCCGUAGUGGGGGACAACCCAGCGAAAGCUGGGCUAAUACCGCAUAUGCUCUACGGAGGAAAGCAGGGGACUCGCAAGGGCCUUGUGCUAUGGGAGCGGCCGAUGUCCGAUUAGCUAGUUGGUGGGGUAAAGGCUUACCAAGGCGACGAUCGGUAGCUGGUCUGAGAGGAUGAUCAGCCACACUGGGACUGAGACACGGCCCAGACUCCUACGGGAGGCAGCAGUGGGGAAUUUUGGACAAUGGGGGCAACCCUGAUCCAGCCAUGCCGCGUGCGGGAAGAAGGCCUUCGGGUUGUAAACCGCUUUUGGUCGGGAAGAAAAGGUCUCCCCUAAUACGGGGGACUGUUGACGGUACCGGCAGAAUAAGCACCGGCUAACUACGUGCCAGCAGCCGCGGUAAUAC